UUUGAGUCAGUCAAACAAACUAAUCGAUUCCAAUCACCUCUCUUUUCGUUCCUUCGAUCCGGCGAAUGCUCGGAACCAAAUCAUCUCCGUCGGUCGGAGGAUCUCCGAGGUGAGGAGCCGGCCCGCCAUGGAGGGCGGACCGAUCCCACUGCGCACCGGUCCCUAGAGGCGGCCGCAGCCGAGGUAUCAGCUGCUUCGGACUCGUCGACCAUGCUGAGGGUUCGGCUAGGACUGGUGGACUUCUCACCAACAACAUAUUAAGUCUUCAUCCAUCCACCUCCGCGACAGUAAUAUGGCACAACAUAAGGGAAAAGUCUGAAUCACGGGAGAAGAAAGAAAUGUUACAGAAGCUACCUUUGAGGAAGAGUUCAUUGAAGAGAAUGCAUCUGACCCUCUCUGAUCAUCGUGAACCUCUUUAGGGGCGACCUGAGAACACAUCACCAGCCAGCACCAGCAGGAGCCAUUCGAGGGUGGUGCAUGUGCUCACAGAUCGCUCCUGUUGGAACCCUGUCUCCAACCCUUCCUCUGCUGCAGCGGCUGCCGUUGUUGCUUCUGAUAUUUUUGAGAUUAUGCUUCUGUUUAUACUGCAGCUCCCUCGGGAAACUUGUACUCCAACAGUUUGUGGUGUACUGGAAGCAGCGUUUUUGAUAAAGAGGGAGUACAGUUUGAUAGUACCAUUCUAAUCCAUGCACAUCAAACGAUAAUUUCUUUCUUUUUUUUCA
Long non-coding RNA from Zingiber officinale, 722 nucleotides. RefSeq lists it as uncharacterized. The record is from RefSeq and is a predicted model, not a curated record. NCBI's taxonomy places the organism in Eukaryota, Viridiplantae, Streptophyta, Magnoliopsida, Zingiberales, Zingiberaceae. The transcript has 3 exons.